RNAcentral lists this ribosomal RNA (255 nucleotides) under uncultured bacterium. RNAcentral's name for it is "partial 16S ribosomal RNA". It matches the Rfam family "Bacterial small subunit ribosomal RNA", at positions 524 to 777 of the family's 1533-position model. The record is from RNAcentral.
UACGGGGGGGGCAAGCGUUGUUGCGGAAUUACUGGGCGUAAAGGGCGCGUAGGCGGCCUGCUAAGUCGGAUGUGAAAUCCCUCGGCUCAACCGAGGAACUGCAUCCGAUACUGGCGGGCUUGAAUCCGGGAGAGGGAUGUGGAAUUCCAGGUGUAGCGGUGAAAUGCGUAGAUAUCUGGAGGAACACCGGUGGCGAAGGCGGCAUCCUGGACCGGUAUUGACGCUGAGGCGCGAAAGCUAGGGGAGCAAACGGGG